UCUGUCACUCCCUCUAAGAUUUCCUAAAUAACCAAAUAACACAUAUGACAGGAUCAGAGAAAAUGCCGUCUAUAUCUAGUUAAAGGAGGAAAAAAAAUUAUUAAUUUCAGUGCACAAAGCAGCUUAGCCACUAUCAGGGAGCAGUACUUACACUGUUGAUAAUUCACUGCUUGGACCUGUACACAUAUCAGAUCUGUUUCAUCUCUAGAUCCAAUUAUAGGGGAAAUAAAAUUCCAAAUAUAGGAACCAAGGACUGCAGAG
This 261-nucleotide unclassified non-coding RNA is filed under the name Hevea brasiliensis (rubber tree). The record is from RNAcentral. Lineage: Eukaryota; Viridiplantae; Streptophyta; Magnoliopsida; Malpighiales; Euphorbiaceae.